Molecule: transfer RNA, 161 nt
Filed under: Candidatus Woesearchaeota archaeon
Lineage: Archaea; Nanobdellati; Candidatus Woesearchaeota
Description: tRNA-Val
Source: RNAcentral
GGGCCCAUGGUCUAGCGGUUAUGACAUCACCCUUACAAGGUGAGGAUCCCCGGUUCGAACAGCCUUUUUGCUUCGCAAAAACCCUGGGGAAAGCUUCGCAAAGCAAUCUCCCUUCGGUCGAUUGAGAAAAAGCAAAGGUUAUGAAAGUCCGGGUGGGCCCA